RNAcentral lists this ribosomal RNA (588 nucleotides) under Triticum aestivum (bread wheat). Its description in RNAcentral is "partial small subunit ribosomal RNA". Lineage: Eukaryota; Viridiplantae; Streptophyta; Magnoliopsida; Poales; Poaceae. The record is from RNAcentral.
AUGGCGGAGGCAUCGUGGAGCAACUCCCCUCCGUCUGCGAAGCAUCACCAAGGUGAGGCGUCUGGCAAGGAGCCGCUGGUGGUCGACGACGACGUUCCGGUCCCCGGGCAGAAGCAGGACUACACCGUGCCGCUCAUGGUUGAUAUCCACCUGAAGAAGGAGAAGCUGGAUGUCGUAUGCACCAGCAAUCCAGACGAAGCCGACAAGAGGAUCCGUGAGAUCAGGAGGAGGCUCGGCGGCAUGCUUUCUCGGUCGAUCGGCGUUGAUGUCGAGUAUACGAGGGAAGACGAACCUCCGCAAAAGGCUGCAGUUCUACAGUUAUGCGUGGAGGAUCUCGUCCUGGUAUACCACAUCACCGCGGCAACCAAAUGGCCCAAGGAACUCCGCCCGCUCCUGCAGGAGAAGAAGCUGUACACCUUUGUUGGCUUCUCCAUUGGAGGUGACAAGGAGAAGCUAAAAUUGUCUGGUUUGGAGAUCAACCCCGACAAGUAUGUCGACAUGCAGCGCAAAUGGAGAGUUCCAAACAAUGGAAAGAAGUGGCAGGCUUUGGCUGAGUUUGCAGCCAGCCUCAUCCACCCAUCGUACUAG